CCAGACUCCUACGGGAGGCAGCAGUGGGGGAUAUUGCACAAUGGGGGGAACCCUGAUGCAGCGACGCCGCGUGGGUGAAGAAGCGCCUCGGCGCGUAAAGCCCUGUCAGCAGGGAAGAAAAUGACGGUACCUGAAGAAGAAGCCCCGGCUAACUACGUGCCAGCAGCCGCGGUAAUACGUAGGGGGCAAGCGUUAUCCGGAUUUACUGGGUGUAAAGGGGGCGCAGACGGCGAUGCAAGCCAGGAGUGAAAGCCCGGGGCCCAACCCCGGGACUGCUCUUGGAACUGCGUGGCUGGAGCGCAGGAGGGGCAGGCGGAAUUCCUAGUGUAGCGGUGAAAUGCGUAGAUAUUAGGAGGAACACCAGUGGCGAAGGCGGCCUGCUGGACGAUGACUGACGCUGAGGCUCGAAAGCGUGGGGAGCAAACAGGAUUAGAUACCCUAGUAC
RNAcentral lists this ribosomal RNA (445 nucleotides) under uncultured bacterium. RNAcentral's name for it is "partial 16S ribosomal RNA". It matches the Rfam family "Bacterial small subunit ribosomal RNA", at positions 331 to 793 of the family's 1533-position model. The record is from RNAcentral.